RNAcentral lists this transfer RNA (72 nucleotides) under Dictyocaulus viviparus (bovine lungworm). It matches the Rfam family "tRNA". From Rfam's summary of the family: Transfer RNA (tRNA) molecules are approximately 80 nucleotides in length. Their secondary structure includes four short double-helical elements and three loops (D, anti-codon, and T loops). Further hydrogen bonds mediate the characteristic L-shaped molecular structure. tRNAs have two regions of fundamental functional importance: the anti-codon, which is responsible for specific mRNA codon recognition, and the 3' end, to which the tRNAs corresponding amino acid is attached (by aminoacyl-tRNA synthetases). tRNAs cope with the degeneracy of the genetic code in two manners: having more than one tRNA (with a specific anti-codon) for a particular amino acid; and 'wobble' base-pairing, i.e. permitting non-standard base-pairing at the 3rd anti-codon position. The record is from Rfam by way of RNAcentral. Lineage: Eukaryota; Metazoa; Nematoda; Chromadorea; Rhabditida; Metastrongylidae.
GCCCCAGUAGUGUAGUCGGCAAGCACAGCAGACUGGAAAUCUGUGGGUAGGGGUUCGAGACCCGCUGUGCUU